This 673-nucleotide ribosomal RNA is filed under the name Salmonella enterica. RNAcentral's name for it is "partial 23S ribosomal RNA". It matches the Rfam family "Bacterial large subunit ribosomal RNA", at positions 2270 to 2925 of the family's 2925-position model. RNAcentral also lists the same sequence under 1 other name. The record is from RNAcentral. Lineage: Bacteria; Pseudomonadati; Pseudomonadota; Gammaproteobacteria; Enterobacterales; Enterobacteriaceae.
UUGACUGGGGCGGUCUCCUCCUAAAGAGUAACGGAGGAGCACGAAGGUUGGCUAAUCCUGGUCGGACAUCAGGAGGUUAGUGCAAUGGCAUAAGCCAGCUUGACUGCGAGCGUGACGGCGCGAGCAGGUGCGAAAGCAGGUCAUAGUGAUCCGGUGGUUCUGAAUGGAAGGGCCAUCGCUCAACGGAUAAAAGGUACUCCGGGGAUAACAGGCUGAUACCGCCCAAGAGUUCAUAUCGACGGCGGUGUUUGGCACCUCGAUGUCGGCUCAUCACAUCCUGGGGCUGAAGUAGGUCCCAAGGGUAUGGCUGUUCGCCAUUUAAAGUGGUACGCGAGCUGGGUUUAGAACGUCGUGAGACAGUUCGGUCCCUAUCUGCCGUGGGCGCUGGAGAACUGAGGGGGGCUGCUCCUAGUACGAGAGGACCGGAGUGGACGCAUCACUGGUGUUCGGGUUGUCAUGCCAAUGGCACUGCCCGGUAGCUAAAUGCGGAAGAGAUAAGUGCUGAAAGCAUCUAAGCACGAAACUUGCCCCGAGAUGAGUUCUCCCUGAGACUUAGAGUCUCCUGAAGGAACGUUGAAGACGACGACGUUGAUAGGCCGGGUGUGUAAGCGCAGCGAUGCGUUGAGCUAACCGGUACUAAUGAACCGUGAGGCUUAACCUUACAACGCCGAAG